AUACGGAGGACGCGAGCGUUGUCCGGAUUCAUUGGGUUUAAAGGGAGCGCAGGCGGAGAUGCAAGCGUGACGUCAAAUUUCGGGGCUCAACCCCGUCUCGCGUCGCGAACUGCGUCCCUUGGUUGCGGGAAGGGGAGGCGGAACUCGUGGUGUAGCGGUUAAAUGCAUAGAUAUCACGAAGAACUCCGAUCGCGAAGGCAGCCUUCCGGCCCGUCAACGACGAUCAUGCUCGAAGGUGCGAGUAUCAAACAGGAAUAGAUACCCUGGUAGUCCGCACAGUAAACGAUGGACACCCGCGGUUUGGCCUGUAUGGCUGAGCCGCCAAGCGAAAGCGUUAAGUGUCCCACCUGGGGAGUACGCCGGCAACGGUGAAACUCAAAUGAAUUGACGGGG
This 393-nucleotide ribosomal RNA is filed under the name uncultured bacterium. RNAcentral describes it as "partial 16S ribosomal RNA". It matches the Rfam family "Bacterial small subunit ribosomal RNA", at positions 523 to 918 of the family's 1533-position model. The record is from RNAcentral.